Molecule: unclassified non-coding RNA, 294 nt
Filed under: Periconia sp.
Lineage: Eukaryota; Fungi; Ascomycota; Dothideomycetes; Pleosporales; Periconiaceae
Description: partial contains 5.8S ribosomal RNA, internal transcribed spacer 2, and large subunit ribosomal RNA
Rfam family: 5.8S ribosomal RNA (bases 1-71)
Source: RNAcentral
GUGAGUCAUCGAAUCUUUGAACGCACAUUGCGGCCAUAGGUAUUCCUUUGGCCAUGCCUGUUCGAGCGUCAUUUACACCCUCAAGCCUCGCUUGGUGUUGGGCGUCUGUCCCGCCGUUUCUCGCGCGCGGACUCGCCUCAAAGUCAUUGGCGGCGGUCGUGCCGGCCCCCUCGCGCAGCACAUUUGCGCUUCUCGGGGGCCCGGCGGACCCGCGCUCCAGCAAGACCUUUCACGACUUGACCUCGGAUCAGGUAGGGAUACCCGCUGAACUUAAGCAUAUCAAUAAGCGGAGGA